Molecule: small RNA, 108 nt
Filed under: Lacticaseibacillus paracasei
Lineage: Bacteria; Bacillati; Bacillota; Bacilli; Lactobacillales; Lactobacillaceae
Description: PyrR
Rfam family: PyrR binding site
About the family: This family represents the PyrR binding site and terminator structure. This RNA structure is found upstream of a variety of genes involved in pyrimidine biosynthesis and transport. The alignment also includes a portion of the antiterminator structure.
Source: RNAcentral
AGCACCUUUAACUAAGUCCAGUGAGGCUUAGAAGGUCCAUUCCGCUGCGGCGGAUUAUUCAGGCUAUGGUCGCCUUCUAUCCCAAAUUGGAUUGAAGGCGACUUUUUU